RNAcentral lists this transfer RNA (71 nucleotides) under Otolemur garnettii (small-eared galago). It matches the Rfam family "tRNA". From Rfam's summary of the family: Transfer RNA (tRNA) molecules are approximately 80 nucleotides in length. Lineage: Eukaryota; Metazoa; Chordata; Mammalia; Primates; Galagidae. The record is from Rfam by way of RNAcentral.
GCACCUGUGGCUCAAAGGAGGGCGCCAGCCCCAUAUGCUGGAGGUGGCGGGUUCAAACCCAGCCACGGCCA